AGAGCGAACGCUGGCGGCAGGCCUAACACAUGCAAGUCGAACGGACUCUUCGGAGUUAGUGGCGGACGGGUGAGUAACACGUGGGAACGUGCCUUUAGGUUCGGAAUAGCUCCUGGAAACGGGUGGUAAUGCCGAAUGUGCCCUUCGGGGGAAAGAUUUAUCGCCUUUAGAGCGGCCCGCGUCUGAUUAGCUAGUUGGUGAGGUAAAGGCUCACCAAGGCUACGAUCAGUAGCUGGUCUGAGAGGAUGACCAGCCACAUUGGGACUGAGACACGGCCCAAACUCCGUACGGGAGCAGCAGGUGGGGAAUCGUUGCGCAAGUGGGACGAAAGGCCCUGACCGCAGCCAGUCGCCGCGUAGAACUGAUGAAGGUCUUAGGUAUUAGUAAAAUUCUUACGAGUACGGGAGAAUAAGUGACGUACCUAAGA
RNAcentral lists this ribosomal RNA (427 nucleotides) under uncultured soil bacterium. Its description in RNAcentral is "bacterial SSU rRNA". It matches the Rfam family "Bacterial small subunit ribosomal RNA", at positions 26 to 466 of the family's 1533-position model. The record is from RNAcentral.